GAAACAUCUAAGUACCCGGAGGAAGAGAAAACAACAGUGAUUCCGCAAGUAGUGGCGAGCGAACGCGGAACAGCCCAAACCGCAUCCUACGGGGUGCGGGGUAGUAGGACCUGCGUAAUUUUUGUAAUCUUAAAUCGAAGCUGUCUGGAAAGCAGCGCCACAGAAGGUGAAAGCCCUGUAGGUGUACCGAUUACAAAAAGGCGGGUAUCCUGAGUAGCGCGAGACCGGUGAAAUCUUGCGUGAACCAGCCGGCACCAUCCGGUAAGGCUAAAUACAUCUGCAUGACCGAUAGUGAACCAGUACCGUGAGGGAAAGGUGAAAAGCACCCCGACGAGGGGAGUGAAAUAGAACCUGAAACCGGAUGCCUACAAACAGAGGGAGCCUGAAAUGGUGACCUCGUACCUUUUGUAUAAUGGGUCUGCGACUUAGUCUGGCGAGCAAGCUUAAGGCGAUAGCUGUAGGCGAAGCGAAAGCGAGUCUGAACAGGGCGUUCAGUUCGUCGGAUUAGACCCGAAACCAGUCGAUCUAUCCAUGGCCAGGUUGAAAGCAAGGUAACACUUGCUGGAGGACCGAACCGGUGCCUGUUGAAAAAGUCUCGGAUGAGCUGUGGAUAGGGGUGAAAGGCCAACCAAGGCUGGAAAUAGCUGGUUCUCCGCGAAAUCUACUUAGGUAGAGCGUCACGA
This 683-nucleotide ribosomal RNA is filed under the name Hemiselmis tepida. RNAcentral describes it as "partial Bacterial large subunit ribosomal RNA". It matches the Rfam family "Bacterial large subunit ribosomal RNA", at positions 195 to 887 of the family's 2925-position model. Lineage: Eukaryota; Cryptophyceae; Cryptomonadales; Hemiselmidaceae. The record is from RNAcentral.